AGUAAAGUCAGCUAAUAAAGCUUUCGGGCCCAUACCCCGACAAUGUUGGUACCCAAUCCCUCCUAUACUA
RNAcentral lists this transfer RNA (70 nucleotides) under Stenodactylus petrii. RNAcentral describes it as "tRNA-Met". The record is from RNAcentral. Lineage: Eukaryota; Metazoa; Chordata; Lepidosauria; Squamata; Gekkonidae.